AGCGGCCAAGAGGUGGCCGAAUACUUACUCUAAUGGGCUGGCCCAAGCCUGAGUGUCUAGAGUUCCCAGCUCGCUUAAGGAAGGAAGGAAAACACAGGCAGCUCUAAGUGUGCGAUGAGAGAGGUCUCAUCGGCAGUGAGGAAGCCCAGGCGGGUCCCCUUCCCAGCUGAAAGGAGUUCGGUCCAUACUCUACAUCUCAGCUAGAAAAGAAGAAAUUCUAAAACAUGUACCUGCCCGUGACCCUCCGUGGCUCAACACUCUUCAGCAGUACCCAGCGCCCUCUGAGUCAACGCCAAGCUUCUUACGAUGGCAUUGGAGCCGCGCUCUGGGUCCUUUUACUGAUGGCUCCUGCCUCAUCCCUUCCACCCCCUCCCAUACCCUGCAUGCCAGCCCAGGCAGCCCCUCCCUCCUCCCACAAUAUCUCCGCUGCAUUCCUGUCCCAUGCCUUCUGCUUAAGCUGUUCCCACAGCCUGGAGUCUCCUCCCUGGCUGAGGGAAAUCUUGCUGGCUCACAUGGCCGUGAUCCCCAUCACUUCCUGCAGAAAGCUUGCCCAGCCCUCCGACACAGGGACCUUCUGCCCCUCCUGAGCCCUGAGUCCCCUCCAUCUUAACUGGGAGGUCACCUGUUUGCGUGGUGUCUGCUCAGCUUGCAGGCAAGGCCACUAACACCCUCCUUUCCUGUCUUCUUUCCUUCCUACCA
This 699-nucleotide small RNA is filed under the name Pongo abelii (Sumatran orangutan). Its description in RNAcentral is "processed transcript". The record is from RNAcentral. Lineage: Eukaryota; Metazoa; Chordata; Mammalia; Primates; Hominidae.